CUCGGCAACGGAUAUCUUGGCUCUCGCAUCGAUGAAGAACGCAGCAAAAUGCGAUACUUGGUGUGAAUUGCAGAAUCCCGUGAACCAUCGAGUUUUUGAACGCAAGUUGCGCCCGAAGCCAUUAUGCUGAGGGCACGUCUGCCUGGGCGUCACGCACAA
RNAcentral lists this ribosomal RNA (159 nucleotides) under Fraxinus americana (white ash). Its description in RNAcentral is "5.8S ribosomal RNA". It matches the Rfam family "5.8S ribosomal RNA". Rfam says of the family: 5.8S ribosomal RNA (5.8S rRNA) is a component of the large subunit of the eukaryotic ribosome. The record is from RNAcentral. Lineage: Eukaryota; Viridiplantae; Streptophyta; Magnoliopsida; Lamiales; Oleaceae. RNAcentral also lists the same sequence under 14 other names.